This 505-nucleotide ribosomal RNA is filed under the name uncultured Glomus. RNAcentral describes it as "SSU rRNA". It matches the Rfam family "Eukaryotic small subunit ribosomal RNA", at positions 569 to 1076 of the family's 1831-position model. Lineage: Eukaryota; Fungi; Glomeromycota; Glomeromycetes; Glomerales; Glomeraceae. The record is from RNAcentral.
AGCAGCCGCGGUAAUUCCAGCUCCAAUAGCGUAUAUUAAAGUUGUUGCAGUUAAAAAGCUCGUAGUUGAAUUUCGGGAUCAAUACGUCGGUCGUGCCUCUGGUAUGUACUGGUGUUAUUGAUUUCUCCCUUCUGAUGAACCAUGAUGUCAUUCAUUUGGUGUUGUGUGGAGUCAGGACUGUUACUUUGAAAAAAUUAGAGUGUUUAAAGCAGGCUCACGCUUGAAUACAUUAGCAUGGAAUAAUGAAAUAGGACGUUCGAUCCUAUUUUGUUGGUUUCUAGGAUCAACGUAAUGAUUAAUAGGGAUAGUUGGGGGCAUUAGUAUUCAAUUGUCAGAGGUGAAAUUCUUGGAUUUAUUGAAGACUAACUACUGCGAAAGCAUUUGCCAAGGAUGUUUUCAUUAAUCAAGAACGAAAGUUAGGGGAUCGAAGACGAUCAGAUACCGUCGUAGUCGUAACCAUAAACUAUGCCGACUAGGGAUCGGAUGAUGUUAAUUUUUAAUGACU